Molecule: ribosomal RNA, 480 nt
Filed under: Staphylococcus aureus
Lineage: Bacteria; Bacillati; Bacillota; Bacilli; Caryophanales; Staphylococcaceae
Description: partial 23S ribosomal RNA
Rfam family: Bacterial large subunit ribosomal RNA
Source: RNAcentral
AGAUUAAGUUAUUAAGGGCGCACGGUGGAUGCCUUGGCACUAGAAGCCGAUGAAGGACGUUACUAACAACGAUAUGCUUUGGGGAGCUGUAAGUAAGCUUUGAUCCAGAGAUUUCCGAAUGGGGAAACCCAGCAUGAGUUAUGUCAUGUUAUCGAUAUGUGAAUACAUAGCAUAUCAGAAGGCACACCCGGAGAACUGAAACAUCUUAGUACCCGGAGGAAGAGAAAGAAAAUUCGAUUCCCUUAGUAGCGGCGAGCGAAACGAGAAGAGCCCAAACCAACAAGCUUGCUUGUUGGGGUUGUAGGACACUCUAUACGGAGUUACAAAGGACGACAUUAGACGAAUCAUCUGGAAAGAUGAAUCAAAGAAGGUAAUAAUCCUGUAGUCGAAAAUGUUGUCUCUCUUGAGUGGAUCCUGAGUACGACGGAGCACGUGAAAUUCCGUCGGAAUCUGGGAGGACCAUCUCCUAAGGCUAAAUAC